GGCCUAUUAGUUCAGUUGGUUAGAGCGUCGUGCUAAUAACGCGAAAGUUGCAGGUUCGAGACCUGCAUGGGCCA
RNAcentral lists this transfer RNA (74 nucleotides) under Glycine max (soybean). RNAcentral's name for it is "tRNA-Ile (AAT) (tRNA-Ile-AAT-10-1)". It matches the Rfam family "tRNA". Rfam says of the family: Transfer RNA (tRNA) molecules are approximately 80 nucleotides in length. Their secondary structure includes four short double-helical elements and three loops (D, anti-codon, and T loops). The record is from Rfam by way of RNAcentral. Lineage: Eukaryota; Viridiplantae; Streptophyta; Magnoliopsida; Fabales; Fabaceae.